Molecule: ribosomal RNA, 659 nt
Filed under: uncultured beta proteobacterium
Lineage: Bacteria; Pseudomonadati; Pseudomonadota; Betaproteobacteria
Description: bacterial SSU rRNA
Rfam family: Bacterial small subunit ribosomal RNA
Source: RNAcentral
AGAGUUGUAUCCUGGCUCAGAUUGAACGCUGGCGGCAUGCCUUACACAUGCAAGUCGAACGGCAGCACGGAGCUUGCUCUGGUGGCGAGUGGCGAACGGGUGAGUAAUAUAUCGGAACGUACCCAGGAGUGGGGGAUAACGUAGCGAAAGUUACGCUAAUACCGCAUACGUCCUAAGGGAGAAAGCAGGGGACCGCAAGGCCUUGUGCUCGUGGAGCGGCCGAUAUCUGAUUAGCUAGUUGGUGGGGUAAAGGCCUACCAAGGCAUCGAUCAGUAGCUGGUCUGAGAGGACGACCAGCCACACUGGAACUGAGACACGGUCCAGACUCCUACGGGAGGCAGCAGUGGGGAAUUUUGGACAAUGGGGGCAACCCUGAUCCAGCAAUGCCGCGUGAGUGAAGAAGGCCUUCGGGUUGUAAAGCUCUUUUGUCAGGGAAGAAAAGGGAUUGGCUAAUACCCAGUCCUCAUGACGGUACCUGAAGAAUAAGCACCGGCUAACUACGUGCCAGCAGCCGCGGUAAUACGUAGGGUGCAAGCGUUAAUCGGAAUUACUGGGCGUAAAGCGUGCGCAGGCGGUUUUGUAAGACUGUCGUGAAAUCCCCGGGCUCAACCUGGGAAUGGCGAUGGUGACUGCAAGGCUAGAGUUUGGCAGAGGGGGGU